Molecule: transfer RNA, 68 nt
Filed under: Anolis cybotes (large-headed anole)
Lineage: Eukaryota; Metazoa; Chordata; Lepidosauria; Squamata; Anolidae
Description: tRNA-Ala
Source: RNAcentral
UAAAACUUGCACUAUACUACAAUGCAUCUCCUGAAUGCAACUCAAGCACUUUAAUUAAGCUAAAGCUU